This 489-nucleotide ribosomal RNA is filed under the name uncultured beta proteobacterium. Its description in RNAcentral is "bacterial SSU rRNA". Lineage: Bacteria; Pseudomonadati; Pseudomonadota; Betaproteobacteria. The record is from RNAcentral.
GAGUUUGAUCAUGGCUCAGAUUGAACGCUGGCGGCAUGCCUUACACAUGCAAGUCGAACGGCAGCAUGAUCUAGCUUGCUAGAUUGAUGGCGAGUGGCGAACGGGUGAGUAAUACAUCGGAACGUGCCCUGUAGUGGGGGAUAACUAGUCGAAAGAUUAGCUAAUACCGCAUACGACCUGAGGGUGAAAGUGGGGGACCGCAAGGCCUCAUGCUAUAGGAGCGGCCGAUGUCUGAUUAGCUAGUUGGUGGGGUAAAGGCCCACCAAGGCGACGAUCGGUAGCUGGUCUGAGAGGACGAUCAGCCACACUGGGACUGAGACACGGCCCAGACUCCUACGGGAGGCAGCAGUGGGGAAUUUUGGACAAUGGGCGAAAGCCUGAUCCAGCAAUGCCGCGUGUGUGAAGAAGGCCUUCGGGKUGUAAAGCACUUUUGUCCGGAAAGAAAUGGCUCUGGUUAAUACUGGGGUCGAUGACGUACCGAGAUUAGUU